CCUACGGGAGGCAGCAGUGAGGAAUAUUGGUCAAUGGUCGGGAGACUGAUCCAGCCAAGCCGCGUGAGGGAGGAAGGUACAGAGUAUCGUAAACCUCUUUUGUCAGGGAACAAAGACUGGGACGCGUCCCCGGAUGAGUGUACCUGAAGAAAAAGCAUCGGCUAACACCGUGCCAGCAGCCGCGGUAAUACGUAGGGGGCAAGCGUUAUCCGGAUUCACUGGGUGUAAAGGGCGCGUAGACGGCGAGAUAAGUCUGGUGUGAAAGGCCGGGGCCCAACCCCGGGACUGCACUUGAAACUGGCUGGGUAGAGUAAAGGAGAGGGAAGUGGAAUGCCGGGUGUAGCGGUGAAAUGCGUAGAUAUUAGGAGGAACACCAGUGGCGAAGGCGGCUUACUGGACUGUAACUGACGUUGAGGCUCGAAAGCGUGGGGAGCAAACAGGAUUAGAUACCCGAGUAGUC
RNAcentral lists this ribosomal RNA (460 nucleotides) under uncultured bacterium. RNAcentral describes it as "partial 16S ribosomal RNA". It matches the Rfam family "Bacterial small subunit ribosomal RNA", at positions 338 to 795 of the family's 1533-position model. The record is from RNAcentral.